CCUGAGAAACCCGAAAGAUCGAAUGGGGAGAUUCAUCGUCAGCGACACUGGUACGUGUGCGGUUCGCGAUGCCGGAGACUUCGGUCUCGUGGCACGCGUCCGCAUGUUUUUUAUUGCCUGGUGUCGUCGGCGUGCACUUCUCCCCUAGUAGGACGUCGCGACCCGUUGGGUGUCGGUCUACGGCCCGGGUGGGCGCCUGUCUCGUGUGUGCUUCACGGCUACACUGCGGGGCAGACCCCCGGCUGCCUGACCGUCUGCCCGGCGGUACUCGCAAGGUAUCUGGCCGCAAAUAUUCGAACUGCGUCCGGCCCGUCGCAAGCGAGGCAAGUGCUUCCCGAAUGCACGGAUCUAAUGCCGUCAUCGGGCCUUGCCAGCUGUUGGUUGACGGUGUCCUAGGACUGGCUAAAGCAAUUAUGAUACCGGUCAGCGACGCUACUGCUUUGGGUACUUUCAGGA
This 456-nucleotide ribosomal RNA is filed under the name Rhyssella nitida. RNAcentral describes it as "partial 28S ribosomal RNA". Lineage: Eukaryota; Metazoa; Arthropoda; Insecta; Hymenoptera; Ichneumonidae. The record is from RNAcentral.